Molecule: ribosomal RNA, 501 nt
Filed under: uncultured bacterium
Lineage: Bacteria
Description: partial 16S ribosomal RNA
Rfam family: Bacterial small subunit ribosomal RNA
Source: RNAcentral
AUUGAACGCUGGCGGCAGGCUUAACACAUGCAAGUCGAGCGGGGAAAGGUAGCUUGCUACCGGACCUAGCGGCGGACGGGUGAGUAAUGCUUAGGAAUCUGCCUAUUAGUGGGGGACAACAUCUCGAAAGGGAUGCUAAUACCGCAUACGUCCUACGGGAGAAAGCAGGGGAUCUUCGGACCUUGCGCCAAUAGAUGAGCCUAAGUCGGAUUAGCUAGUUGGUGGGGUAAAGGGCUACCGAGGCGACGAUCUGUAGCGGGUCUGAGAGGAUGAUCCGCCACACUGGGACUGAGACACGGCCCAGACUCCUACGGGAGGCAGCAGUGGGGAAUAUUGGACAAUGGGGGGAACCCUGAUCCAGCCAUGCCGCGUGUGUGAAGAAGGCCUUAUGGUUGUAAAGCACUUUAAGCGAGGAGGAGGCUACUUUAGUUAAUACCUAGAGAUAGUGGACGUUACUCGCAGAAUAAGCACCGGCUAACUCUGUGCCAGCAGCCGCCGUAA